GACGUCACAAGUGUAAUAUAUCAAAAGAACAAUGCAUAAAAGCGUAAAUAACGAUUAUAUUAACAUAUUACACUUCGAACAGACAUAAUGUCAUAACCUUUAUUCAUCAAAGUACAGCGAAACAUGGACAUCCAUCCACAGGAAGAUGACCGGGGGUAUCACUAGACUAGCAUCCAUCGAGUUCAUCAUCAAAAUCUUCAUCUGCAAACUUUUGAUCAAAAUUAAGCAAGGGUGAGCUCACUUAUGGUCGGGGCUCAGCAAGUGGGGGAAAAUGCAAGGUAACAAGGUAAGGCUAAAGUUAAAUGUGAUUAGCAUUUUAGUUGGUAAACAUUUUAUUAACAACACCUGUCUUACUAAUAAGUGUGAAUCCCAAGUAUUUCCAUUAAACAAAGGUAUAAGAGUAUAUCAAAAACACUUAAGUGAAACCACUUAAGCAAAUCAUUGGCAGAUCAUCGGAUCUCGAUUUAUUUUCAUCUUCAAGUUCAAUUAUCAUGUGAGGAGUCCAGGCUGCUCAUAACCGUGAGCACGACUGAUAUAUCAGUUUUACACUCUGCAAAGGUGGUACAACUUUACCCACAAGCCGUGUAUCCCCUCUAGCCUAGGUCGGCCAAAACCCGUAAACACUUCCGAGGUGAGUGGCUAGGGAUCCACUAUGAGGCUUUCACAGAAUACUCUUAAUACAAAGCAACCCGCUAAGGUUUCUAAAGUCAGUGUGGAGGCCCUCUAGGUGAGGUACCUUAGCCAAGAAUACGUCUCCAUGUUAACGUGAGUUGCCACCACUACCGCUCCCCCUCUUGCUCAUAUUUCAGGUAAGGUUGCUAGGUACUAAACAUAUAAAGCUAAUUAACAAAGCCAGAGCCAUGAUAGCACUGGUGGUUGCACUGUUUUCCCGGGUGGUCACUUCAUGUUCCAAUUAUCACAAUAUGGUCUUUUUUAAUCAUCGGAUUAACAACAAUAAUAUAAACUUACCAUUUGAAACAUUAAUAUCAUCAGUAGGAGUACCAGUAUAAAGUUAAAGUUGUAGCAAUAGCAUAGCUACUUGAUUAGAUCACAACCCAGGUUAACAAGGAAUAAGGUUGGAAAGGUUAGGUGUGUCUGAAUAGGUAACCCAUCAAAUUAUGCAUAUAUAUAUAUAUAUAUCAAAGAAUAAACUUUAUUAAAUGUAUUUUUUGGGAUCAAACAGAAUAUGCAGAGGGAUAAGUCCACUUGCCUUGCUUAUAGAAAACUUGAGGUUCUUCCACGAAUAGGAAUAGAUCUUGAUUCUUAACUACUAGAUCAACCACUGAAUAUGACACAAACAAACAAGAAGGACAAACACCACUCAAUAACAUACAACAUUCACCAUAUGUAAAGCUAAAAGAAGAGCAUUUGUUUUUCAAGAACGUCGCAAGUAAUGGUUAUAAUAAGAGGGUAUUCUUUUAAAAAAUGUGUGAUCGAUACUUUAUAAAACAAGAUAUGAGAUUAAAAAUAUCUUAACUAAAAUAUACAAAUAUUAGGUUAACCAAUUUAAUCUUUUAUAAAACGUCAUAUGUGAUAUGUCUAAGAUUAAGAUGAUAAAACAUGUUAUAACAAUAUUAAACCUUUUUAACCUUUUAGAAAAGAUAUAAGUUAUAAAUCUAAGGUUAAUGCAUUAUGAAAUACCUUAUUAAUUUUAGAAGCAUUAUGGAACGCAUUAUAAUUCAUUGUUCAACCUUCACUUAUGAUAAACUAAGAUAUAAGUCUAAAUAGGUUUUAUAUGAAAAGAUCAUUAUUAUUAAAUACCUAUUUUAUGGAAAACUAGGUUAUAGGCCCUUAAGUGGAUUUUCAUGCAAAAGAUAAUGAACAAAUAACUAUCUUUUAUUUUCAUUAGGAAACACAUAGCCUAUAUUAUUAUAUUCGAAGUUAAUAUAUAAAGUAACAUUUUAAGUUUAAAAGAACUUAAACUCCUAUUACUUUAUUUUAUCCUUUAGGAAAAGCUAAGUGAUUCGUAUAUAAUGUGGACUAAAUUUUAUGAAAUCAUUAAUCAUACCAUAAAUCUAGUUGAGAACAAAUUGAUUAUAGGUUUGAUUAAUAAAUUAUGAUAAAGGAUAAUUAAUCAAUUAAUUAUCUUUAAUUCUAUUGUAGGAAUAAAUUAUCUAAUUCUUUAGAAAGGAAAUUAUGUAUAAACUAUCAUUUUAGUUUAUAAAAGCAAUGACCUUUGUUAUCUUUUUAUUAAGAAAAUAUAAAUAAUCUAUUAAUUAUAUUUAGUUUCAAUUUAGGGACAUAUGACCUAAAUCAUUUGAAAUGAAUACUAUAUUCAUUGGUAUAUUAUUAACUAUCGUUUUAGUUAUGAUGGUGUGAGUACUUAAUUAAGCCAUUAUAUCAUUAUUAGAAAAGUUAUAUGACAUACUACUAUUGUAAAGCAUAUAAUUAUGGAUACUUAAAUAUGAGACUAAAUGAGUUUUAUGUGAAGAGAUAAUAAAUGAUUAUCAUUCUAAUAGAAAAAACACCAAAUCUAUAUUUGUUGAGAAAACUAUAUUUAAACCGAUAGGUCAUCAUUUUAAAGAUAUGAACACUAAUUUUUAGUAUCUUUAGAAGACUCUAUUCUUUUUGUUUUCUCCUUUCUUUUCUAAAUAGAAAUUACUUUCUUUUCUAAAUAGAAAUUACUUUCUUUUCUAAAUAGAAAUUAUAUGUAUGACUAAAAAUUAUUUAUAAUUCUUCUAACAUUAAUAUUCUAAGAAUUAAUUGUAAAUUACUAAUUGGACUUUUUAAUAACAUAUUCAUGGUUAUUAUGACAUAAACAAGUAUUUUACUAAUUCUAAGUAAUUAAGUGUUAUACUUACAUUUCAUGACUAGUAAAAUCUAUAUUUUUAUCUAACUAAACAUAUGUGGCGUAGGUGUAAUGACUUAACCAAUUUUAUAGAAAUAAACAAAUUAUUACCUAAUUAUUUAUACUAUGAAUAGUGAUCUCAUUUUAGUUUUAUCUUUUCUUUCUAAAAGAAAAAUGUCAUUAAUAAUAAGAGAUCAAAACAUCUAAUAAUACAUUAAACCACUGUUUAUACUAUAAUAUUUGUAUUGUUAUGAAUUCUAUACCACUUACUAAUUAUAUGUUAAGAAAAGCUUUUAUUAUCUAUUUAGUGGGUUUAAAUGAAUUUAUGAAUAUAAACUUUUAGAUAAAUUAUAACAAUCGUCAUAAACAAAAUUAACUAAGAUAUUAUUUAUCUAGUGUUUUCCUCACUAACACAUGGUCUACCAAAUUCUGUCAUUCCUAUUUCCAAUCCCAAAUUCUAAAGAGAUCGUAAAUCAAUAUCACGUCUAAAACCCGUUUACUAAUUCAUCGCACAAACACUCAAAAUCAAUCGUUUACACACAUAAAUUCCAAAUCACAAUGAAUAAUUACCAAAUUCAUGAAUUAAUUCAAAACAUGAUUUUGGAGAUAUAAAAAUAUUUGGGUUGUCUUCAACCUUGUGGUGAAUGGAGGGAUUUGGUCGCGGUGAGACGAGGCACGACCAAGGACGAGCGAAGCCGGUGUGGACGAGGCUUGGCGUUGGGCACGGAUGAUCCAGUUGGUGUGCUGCGCGAUCGCGUCGACAACGGACGAUGUAACUCCGGCGAUGCGUUUGGACGGCGGGGCACGAACGGACGGUGAACGGCAUACGGCGCGCAGGCACGGGCGGAGCUCCGGCAAACGGCGGAUGGACGCGGACUAUCCGGCGACGAGAUUCACGACGGCGAGCUCGGGAUGGCUUGGAGAGCGAGCUUGGGGAUGGAGAGGGAGAAGGGCUCGGCUGGAUUUAUAGAGGGGAGAGGGAGAGGAGAGGGCGAGCUGGGGUGGCGGGAAGAAACAGCGGCCAAGGCUUCAUGGCCAUUAAUGGCGUCGGUUCACGGAGUAAUGGGGGAGAAACGGACGCAAUGAAGGUCCCAAUAACAUAGAGCAGAGAAGAACGGUCGGCUCGGGCGUCGGUUUGUGGCUCGGCAGCUGCGUAGGGCACGGACGUCGGGGUCGGGCGGCGCGGCUGGCUGGGGUUGCGUCGGGCGGGGUCGCGAGGCGGCUCGGGGUGCUGCACGUGGGGCGGCACAGCGCGUGCGGUCCUACUUGGCGGGUAGGCGAGGUGCGGUCGGCCGGCUGGCUCGGACGCGGGCGGGUCCUAGCGCGCGGGCGUCGGAGUCAUGGAAGCAGGGAGCUCGAGUUUCGUUUGGGAGAGAGAGAAGGGAGAGAGGAAAGUGAGUGGGGCUGGGUGGGACAGAGAUGGGGGAGGGAGAAGCAGGUGGCGGCGGCGGCUGCCAGGGAGGCGCGCGCUAGGGUUAGGGGAGGGAGCAGGGCGCGGCUAAUGGGCCGAAUGGGCCGAUUUGGCCUGAUUAGAUUAGGUUUUUUUUCUUUUUUUAUAUUCAGAAUAUAAUAUAUAUAUAUACAUUGCAGAAAACAAACUCUCAAAAUAAUAUUAACACAAAUAAAUAUUUGUAGAAGAAUAUUGUUUUAGAAAGGACUCUCUUUUUAAAUAAAAGACCUUCACCAAAAGAAAAUAAAGUUUAAUAAAAAUGGAGCUUUUGCAAGUACUAUUAUUUAAAUGUUAUUAACAAAAAAAUACAUAUUACAACGAUAAUAUAUUAAUAAUUCUUUAUUAUUUCAUAAAACGAGAUUUCCUUCAAAAUUGUAUUUGCAAAUCGAUUCAACCAAAAUUUAUACUCCAGCAUGAAUGCUUCAAACACUUGAUUAAAUUUUAUCUAUUCAAGAAAUUCUUUAGAUUAUAUAUUCCCAGGUUUUCCUUAUUUGAAAACAUAAAUAACUUUCCUUUCUACUGAAAUUUAAUAAUUCGAAUAGGGUUGUUUGCAUUUGCUAGAUUAGGGUGUUACAGUUUUUGAACCCAUGUUGUUGUAGGUGAGGAAACAGCAGAGUUUUGCUGUUUCUGUUCAAAGGUGGUACCAAAAGAGGAGCCGAAUCUGUGAUCGUGUAGGCAGGAGGAUGUUUGCCUCCCAGUUUGAAAUUACUAAACUUUUGUGCGGGAGGGUGUUUUGCCUCCCUAGUUUGUAAUAAUACUUUAUGCUCUCUUAAUACCCAGUAUUGUAAUAAUACUCUCUCUAUAUUUUAUGAAUGUAAAUUAAUUAUUGUAAUCUGCUUCCGCUUAUUCUUUCCUCCAAUGUGAUGUAAUAUCUACAUGACGGGUAAAACGCUCUUGGGCGAUGUAAGGAAGAUACAGAGGACCGAACUUGUCGAGUGAUUAUGCUCAUCUAUAGGAUUGUCCGAGGUCCUUAGGACAAGGACAACUGUAUGUGGGCCUAAUACCUUGGGAGGUUCCGUGACAGCUGGUAUCAAAGUGAAGCCCUUAUUCUUAGAUAUUACGUAGUACUUCAAAAGAAUUUUCAAACACUUAUCUUGAAAUUUUCUUUCGUUCUUACCUUAUCACUUUCUGGCAGCCCCUUAUCUUGUAAAGUUGGAUAACAGAGUGCAAUAUAUAUAGGAAGUUGGGGAUCAACGAAGGUUGAUUCCAUAAUUAUUAGAUUAUGCAUGCAUCAUAUUUAAAACUAUACUAAUAGAUCUUCCCCUCUUAUGGAGAUAUGGCACGCACUAAGACUACCCAGCGCAAAUCGACUGGACCUCUUGGUGUGCCACGACAUCUGCUAGCCUCCAGGCACGAAGAAAGUAGUAGUGGCAGUAAUGAUCCAAUUGGAGACCUGCAAGUGUCACACCCGGUUUUGAAGGUAAACCGAAUGUGAACCAUGUACGUGCAUAGCGAUUACAUAAAUGACUCAUCAUAGCACAAUGCUUCGAAUAACAAUAAAGAGUAAGUAAUAAUAUUAAAGACUAGAGUCAUUUACAUAAUAUGAAUCAAAGUGCACAAAAUAGAAACGUAGCCAACGUAAACAAACCCACCACAAGAAGCUGACUGGGGGAGGUCGUUAGCCUAAUCCUCGAACUCGUCGAAGUCCUAGAACUCCUGGAGAUCCGCCUCGACGCCUUCUUCUUUACCUGAGCAUAGAUUGCACCAAAGGCAACCUAGUGUUUUGUGAAAGCAAGGGUGAGUACACAUCAACGUACUCAGCAAAUGUCCCGUUUGGCUGAGGUCGGCUAGCUUUAUGUGGAGUUAAGGUUGAAGCAGUUGCUUUUAGUUGGUCAAGUAUUUAUUAUUAGUGGGAGCCAAGUUUUAGCAAUAACCAACCCGUGAAUCAUUUCCUCAUCGAGGAACAUCAUUAUCAUCAUCAAACCAAAACCAUAAAUAGAACCAUUGAAUCUCAGGUCAUCUGUAUCUCUAAUCAAAGAGGAUACUAAGGCCGCUCUUAACCGUGAGCACGGGUGAUAUAUCAGUUUCAUAACACUCUGCAGAGGUUGCACACUUUACCCAUGAGCCAUGAUUCCCUUUCUGCCCGAGGAUCGUGACUCCCCAUUGAUCACUUCUAAGGUGAACUAGCAGGGUCUCACUACGUGGCUUUUCCCUAGGGUCCUCACUAUGCGAAUGUUGGAAAUGACCAUUGCAUAAAGUCCAUCUGAUGUCCCAAAACCUAUACCUCUGCCCUCAGGAAAAAGUCGUGGGACAAUGCCCGUACCCAGAUCCCUGAGCGAGGAUAUAGGAGCCAUAACAGAUGUCUCUGUUUCCCAAUGACCAAAAACCAGCACCAAACAUAAGACUUCCCUAAUUACUUGGCCAAGGGCGUCCCAUACCACCCUCAUGGUUGCACUGUUUUCCCGGGAUGUCGCUCCCCGAACAGGUCCUUACGGAGAGGCACUCAGGAAACAGCCUGAGUCCCCUAAAGUAUCACAGGACCAUCAUCGGGAUAACAUCAUCGUAUCAUAAGUAAUCACAUCAUGUUCAUCGAUUAAAGUAAAGCAAUAGCAUGAAGAUAACCAUAAUAACCCAAAAGGUAAUCAAGGACAAGGUAAAUACAAAGCUAGUCAAUCGUUAGGUUUCAAUUGAGUUAUGCGGGAUAGUGAUUUAUAAAGUAAAUAGGACAUAAUGGGUCAGAGGACACUUGCCUUCACCAAAGAGAUGCUCAGGGUCUUCAAUCCCGUAGAACUCGAAGAGCUUGAUCUCAAGACCGGUGGUUCACCAAAUCUUGAUCGUCGAUUCCUCGAAGCUCGGGAACAGAUUGCAAUCUGUUCGCGACGCACAACGAAUACAAACAGACAUAGACAAACAAACAUAUACUUGCAUAAGAACAUUACACCAUACAAAGGAAACCAUUAUAAAAACGUGUACUAUAAAAUAGAGAUCGCUUCUACAGUCACGCGAAGAAAUAAGCGCUGGAAUCGAAACUAUGGCUGAGACGGUAUGGUUUUCGGAAGGUUUACAUAAUAAACGCGUAACCUAUGUUCUAGGUCGAUUUUAAUUAAUAUAAAUCAUUUGCGGAAGAUACUCUAAAGAAAUAUCUAAUGUGGCAAUAUUCGAGAUUGUAAUUUGAUCGGAAACCACAUUUUUAAACUGGUCGGAUUAUAUUUAUGAACAUGACACAUAAGACUCACUAUGUUUAAACAUAUAAUAAAUUUAUAAAUGACACGACAUACUGGUACCACUAAAUUAUAUCGUUUUAUAUUAAUCGAAUAUUGAAUAUAACGUCUAAGUCGGCAUACUCGCUUAACAGGUUCGAUCAAACGAUUAUUUUAACUAACCGGCACUAAACAAGAAAUCAAUUAUUUAACAUGAACGAUGCGGCGAAGCGAUUUUAUCAAAGCGUCUGAUUAGCGAUUUAUGCGAGCGGCGACGCGAGCGAACAAUGUGAAUUAGCACGCGCGAGGACACGUGAAACAACCCUGCGGCACGCGCGAAGGAGCUCACGGACGGUACGCACGACAAUACGUGAUCAUGUGUGACUGACGCGUGACGACGCGUGCGAACAGCACGCGAACCAUACGCGUGGCGCGAACGCGCGAACGAAUGACGACGAAGUACAAGCAGCACGCGAAUGACACACGAAACAGCGUGCCACCGCAUGCAGAACAGGCCACGCAACAGGCGGAGAAAAACUAAUUAGAUGUUGUGCUUAAACUAAACAAGUAUUAAAUAAAUAAAAAGCAUUUAAGCUAAUAUUAACUAUGUUAAUGUUUAUUAUCAAAGCCCAAGUUGAGCACUACACUUUUAAUCUAAUCAGAAUAUUAAUGUAACAAUUAUUAGUCGAGCAAACCUUAAGUUAACUAUUUAAAAUACGCGAACCGACAAAUUAUCAUUAUUAACAUAAGUGUUUAUAAGCGAAAACAAUUAUUAUCACGCGCAGACGCCGCACGACAUACGUGACUUAGCGCGCGGACAACGCGCGGCGAUGCGCACGAUCCACACGCGCGAUACACGAAGACAACGUGUGGAGACGCGCGCAAAACAGCACGCGCGACCCAGCACGCUAUCGCGCGCGGAACAACAUGCACGACAUAGGAGAAAUACUUAAACAGAUGUCGUGCAUACACUAAGCGAGUAUUAAUUCAAAAAUGUUUGAGUUGGCAUUAAUUAAAUUAACACGUAUUUGUAAAGCACAAGUUAGAACUAUACAUUAGUUUUAAUUG
This 8446-nucleotide long non-coding RNA is filed under the name Zea mays. Its description in RNAcentral is "long non-coding RNA (ZMAY_LNC001711)". The record is from RNAcentral. Lineage: Eukaryota; Viridiplantae; Streptophyta; Magnoliopsida; Poales; Poaceae.